UACGUAGGGUGCGAGCGUUGUCCGGAAUUAUUGGGCGUAAAGAGCUCGUAGGCGGUGUGUCACGUCGGCCGUGAAAACCUGCAGCUUAACUGUGGGCGUGCGGUCGAUACGGGCAGACUGGAGUACUGCAGGGGAGACUGGAAUUCCUGGUGUAGCGGUGGAAUGCGCAGAUAUCAGGAGGAACACCGAUGGCGAAGGCAGGUCUCUGGGCCACUACUGACGCUGAGAAGCGAAAGCGUGGGGAGCGAACAGG
Molecule: ribosomal RNA, 253 nt
Filed under: uncultured bacterium
Lineage: Bacteria
Description: partial 16S ribosomal RNA
Rfam family: Bacterial small subunit ribosomal RNA
Source: RNAcentral